CAGUCGCCACGGUAAUACAGAGGGUGCAAGCGUUAAUCGGAAUUACUGGGCGUAAAGCGCGCGUAGGUGGUUUGUUAAGUUGGAUGUGAAAGCCCCGGGCUCAACCUGGGAACUGCAUCCAAAACUGGCAAGCUAGAGUACGGUAGAGGGUGGUGGAAUUUCCUGUGUAGCGGUGAAAUGCGUAGAUAUAGGAAGGAACACCAGUGGCGAAGGCGACCACCUGGACUGAUACUGACACUGAGGUGCGAAAGCGUGGGGAGCAAACAGGAUUAGAUACCCGCGUAGUCCCUGUCUCUUAUAC
RNAcentral lists this ribosomal RNA (301 nucleotides) under uncultured bacterium. RNAcentral's name for it is "partial 16S ribosomal RNA". It matches the Rfam family "Bacterial small subunit ribosomal RNA", at positions 509 to 807 of the family's 1533-position model. The record is from RNAcentral.